GUCCACGCUGUAAACGAUGGGCACUAGGUGUCCGGGGUAUUGACCCCCUGGGUGCCGCAGCUAACGCAUUAAGUGCCCCGCCUGGGGAGUACGGUCGCAAGAUUAAAACUCAAAGGAAUUGACGGGGGCCCGCACAAGCGGUGGAGCAUGUGGUUCAAUUCUACGCAACGCGAAGAACCUUACCUGGGCUAGACAACGGUGGACAGCCCUAGAAAUAGGGUUUCCCUUCGGGGACUGCCGGUUCAGGUGCUGCAUGGCUGUCGU
This 264-nucleotide ribosomal RNA is filed under the name uncultured bacterium. Its description in RNAcentral is "partial 16S ribosomal RNA". It matches the Rfam family "Bacterial small subunit ribosomal RNA", at positions 793 to 1055 of the family's 1533-position model. The record is from RNAcentral.